Molecule: ribosomal RNA, 447 nt
Filed under: uncultured bacterium
Lineage: Bacteria
Description: partial 16S ribosomal RNA
Rfam family: Bacterial small subunit ribosomal RNA
Source: RNAcentral
AACGAACGCUGGCGGCAGGCCUAACACAUGCAAGUCGAACGAAGUCUUCGGACUUAGUGGCGCACGGGUGAGUAACGCGUAGGAAUCUACCUCAUAGUCUGGGAUAACAGUUGGAAACGACUGCUAAUACCGGAUGCUCCCUACGGGGGAAAGAAUUACGCUAUGAGAUGAGCCUGCGUUAGAUUAGGUAGUUGGUGGGGUAAAGGCCUACCAAGCCUACGAUCUAUAGCUGGUCUGAGAGGAUGAGCAGCCACACUGGGACUGAGACACGGCCCAGACUCCUACGGGAGGCAGCAGUGGGGAAUAUUGGGCAAUGGGCGCAAGCCUGACCAGCCAUGCCGCGUGAGUGAUGACGGCCUUAGGGUUGUAAAGCUCUUUUAGUGGUGAGGAUGAUGACUGUAACCACAGAAAAAGCCCCGGCUAACUUCGUGCCAGCCGCCGCGGUAA